RNAcentral lists this ribosomal RNA (468 nucleotides) under uncultured bacterium. RNAcentral describes it as "partial 16S ribosomal RNA". It matches the Rfam family "Bacterial small subunit ribosomal RNA", at positions 28 to 507 of the family's 1533-position model. The record is from RNAcentral.
GACGAACGCUGGCGGCGUGCUUAACACAUGCAAGUCGAACGGAAAGGCCCUGCUUUUGUGGGGUGCUCGAGUGGCGAACGGGUGAGUAACACGUGAGUAGCCUGCCCUUGACUUUGGGAUAACUUCAGGAAACUGGGGCUAAUACCGGAUAGGAGCUCCUGCUGCAUGGUGGGGGUUGGAAAGUUUCGGCGGUUGGGGAUGGACUCGCGGCUUAUCAGCUUGUUGGUGGGGUAGUGGCUUACCAAGGCUUUGACGGGUAGCCGGCCUGAGAGGGUGACCGGCCACAUUGGGACUGAGAUACGGCCCAGACUCCUACGGGAGGCAGCAGUGGGGAAUAUUGCACAAUGGGCGGAAGCCUGAUGCAGCAACGCCGCGUGCGGGAUGAUGGCCUUCGGGUUGUAAACCGCUUUCGCCUGUGACGAAGCGUGAGUGACGGUAAUGGGUAAAGAAGCACCGGCUAACUACGUG